RNAcentral lists this ribosomal RNA (440 nucleotides) under uncultured bacterium. RNAcentral's name for it is "partial 16S ribosomal RNA". It matches the Rfam family "Bacterial small subunit ribosomal RNA", at positions 339 to 795 of the family's 1533-position model. The record is from RNAcentral.
CUACGGGGGGCUGCAGUGGGGAAUAUUGGGCAAUGGGCGCAAGCCUGACUCAGCAACGCCGCGUGAGGGAAGAAGGUUUUCGGAUUGUAAACCUCUGUCCUUGGGGACGAAGAAGUGACGGUACCCAAGGAGGAAGCUCCGGCUAACUACGUGCCAGCAGCCGCGGUAAUACGUAGGGAGCAAGCGUUGUCCGGAAUUACCGGGCGUAAAGGGUGCGUAGGCGGCAUAUUAAGUCAGGUGUGAAAUACUCGGGCUCAACCCGGGGGCUGCAUUUGAAACUGAUAUGCUUGAGGUGGGAGAGGAAAGUGGAAUUCCUAGUGUAGCGGUGGAAUGCGUAGAUAUUAGGAGGAACACCAGUGGCGAAGGCGACUUUCUGGCUCAUAACUGACGCUGAGGCACGAAAGCGUGGGGAGCAAACAGGAUUAGAUACCCGCGUAGUC